This is a non-coding RNA of Danio rerio (zebrafish), 509 nucleotides long. Lineage: Eukaryota; Metazoa; Chordata; Actinopteri; Cypriniformes; Danionidae. The record is from Ensembl.
UCAGGCGAAGUGAGCCCAGAGAAGCUAAACUCUGUUAAGAACAGUGACAAGAUGGGUUCAUUCAGAGAAACAAAACAGUGCUCUCGAACUGGAAAUGCAGGACUGAUACUGGUCCCCUGCUGGAUGUCAGUGUUCACCCUGACCGCUGCAGUCUGUCUACUGAGGCUCUAGAUGGACAGAACAAUAAUGUCACAACACUGCCUUCACUUCAGUCCUUUCACAAACAUGUACAGCUCAACUCAAUACUGGAACUAACUCUUUUAAAUAAUCUCUUUUUGCCAUUUCACACCUUUAUUCUUGACAGAAACUAAUGUGAUCGCAUUUCACAGAUGUUUCUGCUCUGUUCUUGGUGGAGUUUCGGUGGGAUUAAUGAAUGUGUAUUUGUUGUAAAUUCCUGAAAAAGCUAACUUAAUACUGUAUUAUACUCUUUCUCUGUAACUCUGAUUUCUGUUUGGUGUAUAUUUUGAAUGACGCAAUCAGUGUGAAUACAAAACAGCUCUCCUUUUUAA